Synchiropus splendidus (mandarinfish) is the source of this 407-nucleotide long non-coding RNA. RefSeq lists it as uncharacterized. The record is from RefSeq and is a predicted model, not a curated record. Lineage: Eukaryota; Metazoa; Chordata; Actinopteri; Syngnathiformes; Callionymidae. The transcript has 3 exons.
CCUAUCUUCCCAGAGUGCAUUUUGCCAGUAAUGCAUCCAUGCUAUGACUGCUGCUCUGGGCAAACAACCUUUUCUGCAGGAAAGCAAGUAAUUCUGAUUGGAAUGAAUGGUCGAUACAAUGUGUCCCUCCCAACUGUCAGCUGCUCCUGUGGGAAAGCUUUGGAUGUCGGUAUUAGUGAGCUGAUUGAAAGUGGCUACUGGCCAGCUACAGUCCAUUUUGAGACGCUGUACACAGUGGAUUUGUUCGCUACAUACGAAGAGCUCAAGAUUACUGCACCAGGAAUGUAACGACAAGCUUUCGUUGAAUUGAAAGAGUUUAUGUGGCGACACCAUACAAAAAUCAUUCCUGGAAUGGUCGUACGCAAAAUUUGAAGUUGAGAGGCUGUCUGAAGUCGAUCAGUUUCGGU